This 428-nucleotide ribosomal RNA is filed under the name uncultured bacterium. Its description in RNAcentral is "partial 16S ribosomal RNA". It matches the Rfam family "Bacterial small subunit ribosomal RNA", at positions 354 to 796 of the family's 1533-position model. The record is from RNAcentral.
GUGGGGAAUAUUGGGCAAUGGGGGAAACCCUGACCCAGCAACGCCGCGUGAGGGAAGAAGGUUUUCGGAUUGUAAACCUCUGUCCUUGGUGACGAAGGAAGUGACGGUAACCAAGGAGGAAGCCCCGGCUAACUACGUGCCAGCAGCCGCGGUAAUACGUAGGGGGCAAGCGUUGUCCGGAAUGACUGGGCGUAAAGGGCGUGUAGGCGGCCGAUUAAGUCUGGAGUGAAAGUCCUGCUUUCAAGGUGGGAAUUGCUUUGGAGACUGGUUGGCUUGAGUGCGGAAGAGGUAAGUGGAAUUCCCAGUGUAGCGGUGAAAUGCGUAGAGAUUGGGAGGAACACCAGUGGCGAAGGCGACUUACUGGGCCGUAACUGACGCUGAGGCGCGAAAGCGCGGGGAGCGAACAGGAUUAGAAACCCUAGUAGUCC